GACGAACGCUGGCGGCGUGCUUAACACAUGCAAGUCGAACGGAAAGGCCCUGCUUUUGUGGGGUGCUCGAUUGGCGAACGGGUGAGUAACACGUGAGUAACCUGCCCUUGUCUUUGUGAUAACUUCAGGAAACUGGGGCUAAUACCCGAUAGGAUCUCCUGCUGCAUGGUGGUGGUUGGAAAGUUUCGGCGGUUGGGGAUGGACUCGCGGCUUAUCAGCUUGUUGGUGUGGUAGUGGCUUACCAAGGCUUUGACGGGUAGCCGGCCUGUGAGGGUGACCGGCAACAUUGGGACUGAGAGACGGAGCAGACGGCAACGGGAGGCAGCAGUGGGGAAUAUUGCACAAUGGGCGGAAGCCUGAUGCAGAAACGCCGCGUGCGGGAUGACGGCCUUCGGGGUGUAAACAGAUUUCGCCUGUGACGAAGAGUGAGUGACGGUAAUGGGUAAAGAAGCACCGGCUAACUACGUG
This 468-nucleotide ribosomal RNA is filed under the name uncultured bacterium. RNAcentral's name for it is "partial 16S ribosomal RNA". It matches the Rfam family "Bacterial small subunit ribosomal RNA", at positions 28 to 507 of the family's 1533-position model. The record is from RNAcentral.